AGAGCCACAGGCACACUUUGAUCCAGGGAGCCGCCGCAGGGAAGAAGGAGCCCCUGGAGAAGCUGUGCCAGGUGGGGCUGCUGCGUCUGGAGACAUGGAGGAUGACGUCAAGGAUGACGAGCUCUUCCUCGACCUGGCCACCGGCAAGCUGAAGAUGAUGGGCUUUGAUUCUGGCACCUUCUUCAAAGCCAGGCUCCACAGCGAAUUUACAGAUGAGUCCACACCCAGGGGGAUGCUCCCAGAUUUGGGCAUUGCACGGCCUGGCCGGGAAGCAAAGGUUCCCCCCUUUGCUGGGGCGGAUGCAACUAAUUCUUCAGCCGGCUGCCAAGCUGCUUUUCGGCGGGGCGGGCGGGAUGGGCUGGGGUGCUUACGAAAUGGGAGUCGGCCCCUGGCCCUGCCAACAGCCCCCACCACCCACUGUUCCCCGGGCUGGGGCUGGGGCUGGGGCUGGGGCAGCCAGCCCGACACAAACAAGCCCCCAUGGCAGGAGCAGAGGUGGCGCUCCAGGAGCUGUGCACGGGCUGCUUUGUUUUGCGGGAAAGGAAGGGCUCGGGCUGCUCCACUCCCCUUGUUUGCUUCGGGCUCGCCGUGCCUGUUGGGGGGCAGUGCAGGGGGGAAGGGAGAAAGCGUGGGCUUCCCUCGCCCGUGGGAAGCGUUGUAGGUGGUGUCCAGUCUGGAUCGGGAAGUGCUUGGGACCAGCUGCGGCGUGGAUGGGACGUGGCCUUGGAGAAGGCCGAGGACAUCGCUUGGGAGCAGCUUUUCUUCCGGCGGCGGGUGGCGUGCGCCGGGCUCUGUGGAUGCUGAGGCUGCUCUGGGCUCCGCCA
Corvus hawaiiensis (hawaiian crow) is the source of this 824-nucleotide long non-coding RNA. RefSeq lists it as uncharacterized. The transcript has 4 exons. Lineage: Eukaryota; Metazoa; Chordata; Aves; Passeriformes; Corvidae. The record is from RefSeq and is a predicted model, not a curated record.